AACCAUCAGAUUAUAUAGUUGGUUCAACCUGCCCAAUGUAAAAUUAAUGGCCGCGGUACUUUGACCGUGCUAAGGUAGCGUAAUCAGUUGGCUUUUAAAUGGAGUCAGGAAUGAAUGGGAUAACCUGGUUUAGCUGUCUUUUAUUUAAUAUAUUGAAUUUACUGUUCAAGUGAAAAAGCUUGAUUUAUUUAAAGGGACGAGAAGACCCUUAGAAUUUUUUUUAAGAGAAUUAAUUUUUUUUUGUAAUUUUGUUGGGGCGACAAAGAAGAACUUAAAACCUUCUUUAUAUUACAAGCCGGUUAUAUUAUGAAAGAAUAAAUUACCUGAGGGAUAACAGCAUAAUUCUAUAGUUGAGUUUGUGACCUCGAUGUUGGACUAGGAAACUAGCAGGCUAGCCGUUUGCUAUGUUGGUU
This 413-nucleotide ribosomal RNA is filed under the name Protaeolidiella atra. Its description in RNAcentral is "partial 16S ribosomal RNA". It matches the Rfam family "Archaeal large subunit ribosomal RNA", at positions 1921 to 2646 of the family's 2987-position model. Lineage: Eukaryota; Metazoa; Mollusca; Gastropoda; Nudibranchia; Aeolidiidae. The record is from RNAcentral.